GUGUCAGCAGCCGCGGUAAUACGUAGGGGGCGAGCGUUGUCCGGAUUUAUUGGGCGUAAAGCGCGCGUAGGCGGUGCCGUAAGUCGGCCGUGAAAUCUCCAGGCUCAACUUGGAGGGGUCGGGCGAGACUGCGGUGCUCGAGGUGGGCAGAGGCCGGUGGAAUUCCGGGUGUAGUGGUGGAAUGCGUAGAGAUCCGGAGGAACACCAGUGGCGAAGGCGGCCGGCUGGGCCUGGCCUGACGCUGAGGCGCGAAAGCGUGGGGAGCGAUCCGGAUUAGAUACCCGGGUAGUCCACGCCGUAAACGAUGGGCACUAGGUGUCGGGGGUAUCGACCCCCUCGGUGCCGGCGCUAACGCAAUAAGUGCCCCGCCUGGGGAGUACGGCCGCAAGGCUAAA
RNAcentral lists this ribosomal RNA (395 nucleotides) under uncultured bacterium. RNAcentral describes it as "bacterial SSU rRNA". It matches the Rfam family "Bacterial small subunit ribosomal RNA", at positions 505 to 898 of the family's 1533-position model. The record is from RNAcentral.